This 276-nucleotide ribosomal RNA is filed under the name uncultured Staphylococcus sp. RNAcentral describes it as "partial 16S ribosomal RNA". It matches the Rfam family "Bacterial small subunit ribosomal RNA", at positions 86 to 355 of the family's 1533-position model. Lineage: Bacteria; Bacillati; Bacillota; Bacilli; Caryophanales; Staphylococcaceae. The record is from RNAcentral.
CUGACGUUAGCGGCGGACGGGUGAGUAACACGUGGGUAACCUACCUAUAAGACUGGGAUAACUCCGGGAAACCGGGGCUAAUACCGGAUAAUACAUGAAACCGCAUGGUUUCAUGAUGAAAGACGGUUUUGCUGUCACUUAUAGAUGAACCCGCGGCGUAUUAGCUAGUUGGUAAGGUAACGGCUUACCAAGGCAACGAUACGUAGCCGACCUGAGAGGGUGAUCGGCCACACUGGAACUGAGACACGGUCCAGACUCCUACGGGAGGCAGCAGUA